RNAcentral lists this ribosomal RNA (305 nucleotides) under uncultured bacterium. Its description in RNAcentral is "partial 16S ribosomal RNA". It matches the Rfam family "Bacterial small subunit ribosomal RNA", at positions 508 to 807 of the family's 1533-position model. The record is from RNAcentral.
ACAGCAGCCGCCGCGGGAAUACGAAGGGUGCAAGCGUUAAUCGGAAUUACUGGGCGUAAAGCGUGCGUAGGCGGUGAGUUAAGUCUGCUGUGAAAUCCCCGGGCUCAACCUGGGAAUGGCAGUGGAUACUGGCUCGCUAGAGUGUGUCAGAGGAUGGUGGAAUUCCCGGUGUAGCGGUGAAAUGCGUAGAGAUCGGGAGGAACAUCAGUGGCGAAGGCGGCCAUCUGGGACAACACUGACGCUGAGGCACGAAAGCGUGGGAAGCAAACAGGAUUAGAUACCCGCGUAGUCCCUGUCUCUUAUAC